RNAcentral lists this ribosomal RNA (468 nucleotides) under uncultured bacterium. RNAcentral's name for it is "partial 16S ribosomal RNA". It matches the Rfam family "Bacterial small subunit ribosomal RNA", at positions 28 to 507 of the family's 1533-position model. The record is from RNAcentral.
GACGAACGCUGGCGGCGUGCUUAACACAUGCAAGUCGAACGGAAAGGCCCUGCUUUUGUGGGGUGCUCGAGUGGCGAACGGGUGAGUAACACGUGAGUAACCUGCCCUUGACUUUGGGAUAACUUCAGGAAACUGGGGCUAAUACCGGAUAGGAGCUCCUGCUGCAUGGUGGGGGUUGGAAAGUUUCGGCGGUUGGGGAUGGACUCGCGGCUUAUCAGCUGGUUGGUGGGGUAGUGGCUUACCAAGGCUUUGACGGGUAGCCGGCCUGAGUGGGUGACCGGCCACAUUGGGACUGAGAUACGGCCCAGACUCCUACGGGAGGCAGCAGUGGGGAAUAUUGCACAAUGGGCGGAAGCCUGAUGCAGCAACGCCGCGUGCGGGAUGACGGCCUUCGGGUUGUAAACCGCUUUCGCCUGUGACGAAGCGUGAGUGACGGUAAUGGGUAAAGAAGCACCGGCUAACUACGUG